Molecule: ribosomal RNA, 500 nt
Filed under: uncultured bacterium
Lineage: Bacteria
Description: partial 16S ribosomal RNA
Rfam family: Bacterial small subunit ribosomal RNA
Source: RNAcentral
AUUGAGCGCUGGCGGCAGGCUUAACACAUGCAAGUCGAGCGGAGAUGAGGUGCUUGCACCUUAUCUUAGCGGCGGACGGGGAGUAAUGCUUAGGAAUCUGCCUAUUAGUGGGGGACAACAUUCCGAAAGGAAUGCUAAUACCGCAUACGUCCUACGGGAGAAAGCAGGGGAUCUUCGGACCUUGCGCUAAUAGAUGAGCCUAAGUCGGAUUAGCUAGUUGGUGGGGUAAAGGCCUACCAAGGCGACGAUCUGUAGCGGGUCUGAGAGGAUGAUCCGCAACACUGGGACUGAGACACGGCCCAGACUCCUACGGGAGGCAGCAGUGGGGAAUAUUGGACAAUGGGGGGAACCCUGAUCCAGCCAUGCCGCAUGUGUGAAGAAGGCCUUAUGGUUGUAAAGCACUUUAAGCGAGGAGGAGGCUACUGAGACUAAUACUCUUGGAUAGUGGACGUUACUCGCAGAAUAAGCACCGGCUAACUCUGUGCCAGCAGCCGCCGUAA